UCCCGACGAGAAGUUUUUGAUGUAUCUGUUGGUUGCUAUAUUAGUAUAGCCGGAGAAAGUUUAUUUAGAGACUAGUACAAAUUCCCGUGCGUUGCACCGGGCAAAAAUUAUACACUGCUUACAUGUUCAACCAUCUUAAUCCUGAUGAAACAGAGGAUCUUAAUCUUGAUGAAACAAAAAACCUAUAAAUAAAAGUGUAUAAAACCUUGAACAUGGAAAUUAUCAAUCAGGAUAUUAUCAUGUCAUACUUCACAUAGUUUUUAACAAUCUCUGUCAUAAAGGUCUCAUCUUGUUAUAUUCCAAGAUUACCAUCUUGUUUUAAGAGUGC
RNAcentral lists this long non-coding RNA (328 nucleotides) under Hordeum vulgare. RNAcentral describes it as "long non-coding RNA (HVUL_LNC019869)". The record is from RNAcentral. Lineage: Eukaryota; Viridiplantae; Streptophyta; Magnoliopsida; Poales; Poaceae.